This 2356-nucleotide long non-coding RNA is filed under the name Podarcis lilfordi (Lilford's wall lizard). Lineage: Eukaryota; Metazoa; Chordata; Lepidosauria; Squamata; Lacertidae. The record is from RNAcentral.
CCGGCAGCUAAAUCUUCUUCUUUAACACAGGGAAAGGGACAGUGUCUUCCAUUGCCCCUGCAGGGAGGAGGCUAGCAGAGCAGACACAGAGCAGGAGACUGGAGCACAGACAACUCCGUCCCCAGACAGAUGGGGGAAAUUGUGGCCAAGGGGUUCUGCCGUCUCUCCUUCAACAUAUGCUGCCUGAGGUUGCCUCACUCUGAUUAAUGGUACGGCAGAACUCAAAACAGCAUCUGCUAAAUUCAGAUCUCCUCUCACCCUGCCCCACAUUUUCCCAUUUCCCCCAUCACCAGUGGAAGAGAGGCAUAAAACUAGGCAGUAACUGACAGGUGGGAAAACCAUCAACAUACUGAGAAUUUAGAACACGGAAAAGAGUUGUGUUGCUCACAGCAACUAAAUAUUGCCUUGAGUAUUAGAAUGCCCAGCAACUGCGCAACAGAAACACAGAGCUGAAGGAGGAUGUUUGUAUAACAAAUGCACAAUUAUUGGGCUGAAAAACCAAUGACACAUUAUUAUCUGAAAAAUGCUUCAGUUUCCUGCAAGAAGUGUGCUCAGUUCAGAAACAUCACUUCUCACAAAGCACUGCAUCAAGGAAGAACCAAAGACAAAAUAUGAAUAUGUAUUAUAUUUCCCCCUCCCCUCCUCCAAGCAGCUCUGGCAAUACACAGGUCACUAACCUCAUUUAUCCUCAUAACAAUCUUGUGAGGUAGGUUAUGGCGAUAUGGGAAUUACUGAACCAAAGUCACUCAAUGGACUUUGUAGCUAAGCAAAUAUUUGACUACCAGCUCUCUCCAGUCCAAGCACACCGUCUACUGCACCACAAUGGCUCCUAAUUAUUUGUGCACAAGUAAGCAAUAGGUGUUCAUGUGAGAAGACCAUGCAGAUUAAAUGUACACACCAAGAGGUAGAAGCAUAUUCCAGCUUCCCUAUUAUACACACAGAACACGAGAGAAAGUAACCAAGGUACAUGAUCAUGCUAAGCCAUCCUAACGUGAAGCCAGCAUUAUUCCAAAUUAAACAAAUCUUUGAUUUAAGUAAGUGUGUAGUUCCUUUUGUGAUGCCAUUUCAAGCUUUGUCCUUUCUCUUUGCCCGAAUGCCAAUUUGAUGUCGGUCUUCUCAAAUGUCACAACCAUCACCAUUUAAGUAUCAAAUAAAAGCCUGCCUUCUGCUCCCAUAAUUGAGGUAGUUCCCCAUCCCACCCCCCAAAUUAAAUCGGCCUGAGAUGCAACAGUAUAUUUAACCCAGCCUCAGUGACACCUUUCCUAUACAUAAAUAUGCCACAGGUUUAAAGUCCAUUAUCUUGCAACCCUCUAUGGCUAGAAACGACAGUUUUAUACUAUGUGAAAAGGAGUGAUUUCCCACCUUCCAUUCCAAGAAGGUCCCAAGGUAUUGGAUGUUAAUGUCAUGACAUUUUUAGGCAUAGAAAAGCUUUUAGGUUAUCCAGAGAAUGUUUUAUGGCUCCCAUUGAGCCUUGGUGAGCAUUUGAGCCCGUGGUAAAUGGAUGUAUCUAUUUUUACAGGCAAGAACAGCAUGAAACGAGAGGGCAGAAAAAUACAAUGGAAACUAGAAAAGCUUUCCACACUAGCUGAAUGCAGUGCACUUUGCUUGUGCAAAGUACACUUUCCCAGAAGGUUCAAGUACAAAACAAAAUGCAUUGCAGUAGAUAUAUUUAAUCUACAUUUUCCAAGCACAUAAUAUCCAGACAUUAUGAACAUAUGAAGCUUAGUCAUGAAAGGAGUAGAAGCGUUGCUCCACCUCACCCAUUAUUGUCAUUUCUGCUGGCAGUAAGACUAAGGUCACAGGCCGGGGAUUUCUUAGCUCUGCAAUGUGAGAUCUUUGACAAAGAGAUGACAGGAGAUAAUCUGGGACUUUUCGCAUGGUAAUCUUAUGCUCUACCACUGAGCAAUGUCCUCCUUCCCCACCAAAGGACAAGCUUCUGUUCUUAACAUUUAAGCAGACUGCCCCAACUACUCACUGACCCUUAUUAUACCCAAGCAGUGAGAAAUGGCAGGGUGGCAGUGCUUACCCAGGUUUGGUUUCCUUUGGAAGGAGGUUAGUGAAUGCUUAUGGUGUUUUGUAAUAUUUGACUUAAUUAACUGCGCUGCAGUUCAACAUGUCGGGGGGGGGCAGAGAUUCUUUAUCCCUGGCCCACAUCAGGUCUCCAGAGAAAGGCAGACCGCCGUCCAAAAUGCUCCCGCAGUUGCAGAUCCCCACACCCAGCUCUCUGCCUCUUGCUCUGCCCCUCUCUUAUUCCUCACUCAAAUCUCUGGUUUCCAUUUCUUCUUUUCACCCACAGACCUAGAUCACAUCUAGGAAGAGGAAGAGCAAGCAAAGGAAAAUAAGAAAUAUACACCCC